UAUGGCAGGGACGAUGGCAGUUUCGGCGUCAUCGAAUCUCCUUCACUGCGGGAAACGAGCGCCGAGUACGCCCAAAGUUGGAGCGACCGCGAUCUUCGCGCAAUUCGUGCACGCGAACGGGGGUAUUUCUUCAAACGCGACGUCAUUACCGAUAGCGAUGUCGUGUCUCCGGAGGACAUCGAGACCGACCCGUUCUACAACGACUUUCUUCGGNUUUGCUGCCGCGACCGUCUCUCCGGACCCUCAUAUUGAAGUCGCGUUGAGUGUGCAGCGUG
RNAcentral lists this unclassified non-coding RNA (275 nucleotides) under Hevea brasiliensis (rubber tree). Lineage: Eukaryota; Viridiplantae; Streptophyta; Magnoliopsida; Malpighiales; Euphorbiaceae. The record is from RNAcentral.